CCUACGGGAGGCAGCAGUGGGGAAUAUUGGACAAUGGGGGCAACCCUGAUCCAGCCAUGCCGCGUGUGUGAAGAAUGCCCUCGGGUUGUAAAGCACUUUCAGUGAGGAAGAACGCCUGGUGGUUAAUACCCAUCAGGAAAGACAUCACUCACAGAAGAAGCACCGGCUAACUCCGUGCCAGCAGCCGCGGUAAUACGGAGGGUGCGAGCGUUAAUCGGAAUUACUGGGCGUAAAGCGCGCGUAGGUGGCUUGAUAAGCCGGUUGUGAAAGCCCCGGGCUCAACCUGGGAACGGCAUCCGGAACUGUCAAGCUAGAGUGCAGGAGAGGAAGGUAGAAUUCCCGGUGUAGCGGUGAAAUGCGUAGAGAUCGGGAGGAAUACCAGUGGCGAAGGCGGCCUUCUGGACUGACACUGACACUGAGGUGCGAAAGCGUGGGUAGCAAACAGGAUUAGAUACCCUAGUAGUC
Molecule: ribosomal RNA, 465 nt
Filed under: Vreelandella stevensii
Lineage: Bacteria; Pseudomonadati; Pseudomonadota; Gammaproteobacteria; Oceanospirillales; Halomonadaceae
Description: partial 16S ribosomal RNA
Rfam family: Bacterial small subunit ribosomal RNA
Source: RNAcentral